Molecule: ribosomal RNA, 589 nt
Filed under: uncultured marine eukaryote
Lineage: Eukaryota
Description: SSU rRNA
Rfam family: Eukaryotic small subunit ribosomal RNA
Source: RNAcentral
UUGCAGUUAAAAAGCUCGUAGUCGGAUUUCGGGGCGGGGCGACCGGUCUGCCGAUGGGUAUGCACUGGUCGGCGCGUCCUUCCUUCCGGAGACCGUGCCUACUCUUAACUGAGCGGGGGCGGGAGACGGAUCGUUUACUUUGGAAAAAUCAGAGUGUUUCAAGCAGGCGUCUCGCCUUUGCAUGGAUUAGCAUGGGAUAAUGAAAUAGGACUUUGGUGCUAUUUUGUUGGUUUCGAACACCGAAGUAAUGAUUAACAGGGACAGUCAGGGGCAUUCGUAUUCCGUCGAGAGAGGUGAAAUUCUCAGACCAAUGGAAGACGAACAACUGCGAAAGCAUUUGCCAGGGAUGUUUUCACUGAUCAAGAACGAAAGUUAGGGGAUCGAAGACGAUCAGAUACCGUCGCAGUCUUAACCAUAAACCAUGCCGACUAGGGAUCGGAGGAUGUUAGAUUUGACUCCUUCGGCACCUUACGGGAAACUAAAGUCUUUGGGUUCCGGGGGGAGUAUGGUCGCAAGGCCGAAACUUAAAGGAAUUGACGGAAGGGCACCACCAGGAGUGGAGCCUGCGGCUUAAUUUGACUCAACACGG